GAUGAACGCUGGCGGCGUGCCUAAUACAUGCAAGUCGAGCGAACGGACGAGAAGCUUGCUUCUCUGAUGUUAGCGGCGGACGGGUGAGUAACACGUGGAUAACCUACCUAUAAGACUGGGAUAACUUCGGGAAACCGGAGCUAAUACCGGAUAAUAUUUUGAACCGCAUGGUUCAAAAGUGAAAGACGGUCUUGCUGUCACUUAUAGAUGGAUCCGCGCUGCAUUAGCUAGUUGGUAAGGUAACGGCUUACCAAGGCAACGAUGCAUAGCCGACCUGAGAGGGUGAUCGGCCACACUGGAACUGAGACACGGUCCAGACUCCUACGGGAGGCAGCAGUAGGGAAUCUUCCGCAAUGGGCGAAAGCCUGACGGAGCAAUGCCGCGUGAGUGAUGAAGGUCUUCGGAUCGUAAAACUCUGUUAUUAGGGAAGAACAUAUGUGUAAGUAACUGUGCACAUCUUGACGGUACCUAAUCAGAAAGCCACGGCUAACUACGUGCCAGCAGCCGCGGUAAUACGUAGGUGGCAAGCGUUAUCCGGAAUUAUUGGGCGUAAAGCGCGCGUAGGCGGUUUUUUAAGUCUGAUGUGAAAGCCCACGGCUCAACCGUGGAGGGUCAUUGGAAACUGGAAAACUUGAGUGCAGAAGAGGAAAGUGGAAUUCCAUGUGUAGCGGUGAAAUGCGCAGAGAUAUGGAGGAACACCAGUGGCGAAGGCGACUUUCUGGUCUGUAACUGACGCUGAUGUGCGAAAGCGUGGGGAUCAAACAGGAUUAGAUACCCUGGUAGUCCACGCCGUAAACGAUGAGUGCUAAGUGUUAGGGGGUUUCCGCCCCUUAGUGCUGCAGCUAACGCAUUAAGCACUCCGCCUGGGGAGUACGACCGCAAGGUUGAAACUCAAAGGAAUUGACGGGGACCCGCACAAGCGGUGGAGCAUGUGGUUUAAUUCGAAGCAACGCGAAGAACCUUACCAAAUCUUGACAUCCUUUGACAACUCUAGAGAUAGAGCCUUCCCCUUCGGGGGACAAAGUGACAGGUGGUGCAUGGUUGUCGUCAGCUCGUGUCGUGAGAUGUUGGGUUAAGUCCCGCAACGAGCGCAACCCUUAAGCUUAGUUGCCAUCAUUAAGUUGGGCACUCUAAGUUGACUGCCGGUGACAAACCGGAGGAAGGUGGGGAUGACGUCAAAUCAUCAUGCCCCUUAUGAUUUGGGCUACACACGUGCUACAAUGGACAAUACAAAGGGCAGCGAAACCGCGAGGUCAAGCAAAUCCCAUAAAGUUGUUCUCAGUUCGGAUUGUAGUCUGCAACUCGACUACAUGAAGCUGGAAUCGCUAGUAAUCGUAGAUCAGCAUGCUACGGUGAAUACGUUCCCGGGUCU
This 1372-nucleotide ribosomal RNA is filed under the name uncultured bacterium. RNAcentral describes it as "bacterial SSU rRNA". It matches the Rfam family "Bacterial small subunit ribosomal RNA", at positions 28 to 1381 of the family's 1533-position model. The record is from RNAcentral.